Molecule: non-coding RNA, 45 nt
Filed under: Hemiselmis rufescens
Lineage: Eukaryota; Cryptophyceae; Cryptomonadales; Hemiselmidaceae
Source: RNAcentral
GGAAAUAAACCCAGCAGGGAAGCAAUCCAGCAGGGAGGUGACCGA